GGCCAGUGAUGUUUGAUAUUGUCCGUACCAUCUGAAUAACCUUUUUUAGGGUUUUCUUUGACGAUGAUAAUCUAUCUUUUAAACGACUGAGGCCU
This is a small nucleolar RNA of Impatiens glandulifera, 95 nucleotides long. RefSeq annotates it as small nucleolar RNA snoR117. The record is from RefSeq and is a predicted model, not a curated record. Lineage: Eukaryota; Viridiplantae; Streptophyta; Magnoliopsida; Ericales; Balsaminaceae. The transcript has a single exon.